RNAcentral lists this microRNA precursor (70 nucleotides) under Medicago truncatula (barrel medic). Its description in RNAcentral is "MIR2629 microRNA precursor family". It matches the Rfam family "MIR2629 microRNA precursor family". Lineage: Eukaryota; Viridiplantae; Streptophyta; Magnoliopsida; Fabales; Fabaceae. The record is from Rfam by way of RNAcentral.
UGUUCAGUACACAUCGGCAGUUAACUGCCAAGGUUUCCAUAAAAUUCGGCAGUUAACUGCCGAUGGACAU